AUGGGGAGGAUUCCUGCCGUGGCUGCUGCCAUCGUAGUGGCCUUACUGGUCUGCUGCUCGUGUGAGGUUCGAGGUAAGGAGGAUGAAGAUGUGCUGGACUCCCUCGUCGAUUUCCUGACCAAGCUCGCCGGUGGCGACGAGAAGACGGCGAGCGACCUCGGCUGGGACGCGUCGACCGACCCCUGUGACGGCACCGGCGGCCGCAACGGCAGCGACUCGAAGUGGGGAGGGACCGUCAAGUGCUUCGAGAACGGCGCGAGCAACGCCGGCCUGAUCAAGGUUAUCGACCUCCAGUCCCUAGGCCUCAACGGCACCAUCGACGCGGAGUCGCUCUGCGCCGCACCGGCGCUCCGCGUGGUGAGCCUGCAGAACAACACGCUGCGCGGCGGCCUCCCCGCGGGCGUCUCGGCCUGCUCGGGCCUCACCCACCUCUACGUCGACCGCAACCAGCUCUCCGGCGCCCUCCCGAGCUCCCUCGGCAACCUCAGGAAGCUCCACGUGCUCGACGUCUCCAGGAACGACUUCUCCGGCGAGAUCCCCGCCGGCCUCAGCGACGUGCGCGGCCUCAUAAGGUUCAACGCCAACGACAACCACUUCCAAGGCACCAUUCCUGAUUUCGACCUCGACAAGUUCGAGACCUUCAACGUGUCCAACAACAACCUCACCGGACCUAUCCCGAAGAACACCGGACGCUUCCGCGACGACAGCUUCGCGGCCAACGCUGCCGGCAUGUGCGGAGAGCCCAUGUUCUCCCCGUGUCCCUCCGGGGAGAGCAAAUCAAAGAAGACGCGGAGGAUCCUCAUGUACCUCGGGUACGUCCUCCUCGGUGCCGUCAUCGUGGCAUUCGUCGUGUACAAGCUCUGCUCCAGGAAGAGGAACAAGCUGGGCAAGAAGGCCAUGGUCGGCAAGGACAUGUUCGACAGCAGCAACCCGACGACGACGACGACAAGCAAGUCGGCGUCGGCCUACUCGCUGCCGGCUUCGGCGGAGCGGAGCCCAGCGCGCAAGGGCGCGGCGUCGACGUCGCUGGUGGUGCUGCGGCGGUCGGGCACGGCCUCGGUCACGUCGACGGCGGCGGCCGCGGCGGCCAAGGACCUGCGGUUCGAGGACCUGCUCAAGUCUCCCGCGGAGCUGCUGGGACGCGGGCGGUACGGGAGCUCGUACAAGGUGGCGGUGCCCGGCGGGGCGGCGCUGGCGGUGAAGCGGGUGAAGGACGCGUCGGCGAGCGACGACGAGUUCCGGCGGCGGAUGGAGCGGGUCGCGCGGGCGAGGCACCCGGCCGUCCUGCCGCCGCUUGCGUUCUACUGCGCCGCGCAGGAGAAGCUGGUGGUCUACGAGUUCCAGAGCAACGGCAGCCUCCACAAGCUACUCCACGGCUCUAUAGAGAGCAGCCAGGCCCCCCUUGACUGGCCGGCGCGCCUUCACAUCGCUACCAAGGUGGCCGACGGCAUGGCCUUCUUACACGCCACCAUGCGCGGCGACGGCGCGAGCUCCUACGCCUCCUCCACGUCCUCCUCCAUCGACUCCGCGGCGGCGGCAGAGGGCGCCAUCGCCCACGGCGCCCUCAAGUCCACCAACAUCCUCUUCACGGCCGGCAUGGAGCCCUGCAUCAGCGAGUACGGCGUCAUCGCGCCGCCGCUGGCCGCCGCCGUCGGCAGCAGCCGGAGCUCCGGUCUCCGCGCGGACGUGCGCGCCUUCGGCGUGCUUCUGCUGGAGCUGCUCACGGGGAAGGCCACGGCGGCACAGGGCGACGGCGCGGAGCUGGCGCGGUGGGUGACCUCGGUGAUCCAGGAGGAGUGGACCGCCGAGGUGUUCGACCGCGCGCUGCUCUCCCGCGACGGCGUCAGCGAGCAGCGGAUGGUGCGGCUGCUGCAGGUCGCCAUGAGGUGCAUCGACGCCUCGCCCGGCGAGGUGCCGCCGACCAUGAGGGAGGUCGCCGGGAUGAUCAAUGCCAUUCGCGAGGAGGACGACAGGUCUCUGUCCAUGGAAGCGUGA
Molecule: ribosomal RNA, 1995 nt
Filed under: Triticum aestivum (bread wheat)
Lineage: Eukaryota; Viridiplantae; Streptophyta; Magnoliopsida; Poales; Poaceae
Description: partial small subunit ribosomal RNA
Source: RNAcentral